RNAcentral lists this ribosomal RNA (480 nucleotides) under uncultured bacterium. RNAcentral describes it as "partial 16S ribosomal RNA". It matches the Rfam family "Bacterial small subunit ribosomal RNA", at positions 28 to 507 of the family's 1533-position model. The record is from RNAcentral.
GACGAACGCUGGCGGCGUGCUUAACACAUGCAAGUCGAACGAUGAAGAAAAGAAUCGAAGCUUCGGCAGAAAUUCAUUUCGGAUUAGUGGCAGACGGGUGAGUAACGCGUGAGCAACCUACCUCUUACAAAGGGAUAGCCUCGGGAAACCGGGAUUAAUACCAUAUAACAUUGCGACGAAGCAUUUCGAUGCAAUCAAAGCUACGGUGGUAAGAGAUGGGCUCGCGUCCCAUUAACCGGAUGGUGAGGUAACGGCUCACCAUAGUGACGAUGGGUAACCGGCCUGAGAGGGUGAACGGUCACACUGGAACUGAGACACGGUCCAGACUCCUACGGGAGGCAGCAGUGGGGAAUAUUGCACAAUGGAGGGAACUCUGAUGCAGCGACGCCGCGUGAGUGAUGAAGGAAUUCGUUUCGUAAAACUCUGUUCUAUGGGAAGAAAAGGACUGUACCAUAGGAGAAAGCUCCGGCUAAAUACGUG